UCCUCGGUAGUAUAGUGGUGAGUAUCCCCGCCUGUCACGCGGGAGGCAGGUGUUCAAUUCCCCGCCGGGGAG
Molecule: transfer RNA, 72 nt
Filed under: Daphnia pulex (common water flea)
Lineage: Eukaryota; Metazoa; Arthropoda; Branchiopoda; Diplostraca; Daphniidae
Rfam family: tRNA
About the family: Transfer RNA (tRNA) molecules are approximately 80 nucleotides in length. Their secondary structure includes four short double-helical elements and three loops (D, anti-codon, and T loops). Further hydrogen bonds mediate the characteristic L-shaped molecular structure. tRNAs have two regions of fundamental functional importance: the anti-codon, which is responsible for specific mRNA codon recognition, and the 3' end, to which the tRNAs corresponding amino acid is attached (by aminoacyl-tRNA synthetases). tRNAs cope with the degeneracy of the genetic code in two manners: having more than one tRNA (with a specific anti-codon) for a particular amino acid; and 'wobble' base-pairing, i.e. permitting non-standard base-pairing at the 3rd anti-codon position.
Source: Rfam by way of RNAcentral